Molecule: ribosomal RNA, 853 nt
Filed under: uncultured bacterium
Lineage: Bacteria
Description: bacterial SSU rRNA
Rfam family: Bacterial small subunit ribosomal RNA
Source: RNAcentral
UGAACGCUAGCGGCAGGCCUAACACAUGCAAGUCGAGGGGUAGUUACUUUCGGGUAAUGAGACCGGCGCACGGGUGCGUAACGCGUAUGCAAUCUACCUUUUACAGGGGAAUAGCCCAGAGAAAUUUGGAUUAAUGCCCCAUAGUAUAUAACAUUCGCAUGUUUGUUAUAUUAAAGUUCCAACGGUAAAAGAUGAGCAUGCGUCCCAUUAGUUAGUUGGUAAGGUAACGGCUUACCAAGACUAUGAUGGGUAGGGGUCCUGAGAGGGAGAUCCCCCACACUGGUACUGAGACACGGACCAGACUCCUACGGGAGGCAGCAGUGAGGAAUAUUGGACAAUGGGCGCAAGCCUGAUCCAGCCAUGCCGCGUGCAGGAAGAAGCAUCUAUGGUGUGUAAACUGCUUUUGUACAGGAAGAAACACUCCCUCGUGAGGGAGCUUGACGGUACUGUAAGAAUAAGGAUCGGCUAACUCCGUGCCAGCAGCCGCGGUAAUACGGAGGAUCCAAGCGUUAUCCGGAAUCAUUGGGUUUAAAGGGUCCGUAGGCGGUUUGAUAAGUCAGUGGUGAAAGCCCAUCGCUCAACGAUGGAACGGCCAUUGAUACUGUCAGACUUGAAUUACUAGGAAGUAACUAGAAUAUGUAGUGUAGCGGUGAAAUGCUUAGAUAUUACAUGGAAUACCAAUUGCGAAGGCAGGUUACUACUAGUGGAUUGACGCUGAUGGACGAAAGCGUGGGGAGCGAACAGGAUUAGAUACCCUGGUAGUCCACGCCGUAAACGAUGGAUACUAGCUGUUGGGUGCAAACUCAGUGGCUAAGCGAAAGUGAUAAGUAUCCCACCUGGGGAGUACGUUCGC